RNAcentral lists this unclassified non-coding RNA (277 nucleotides) under Hevea brasiliensis (rubber tree). The record is from RNAcentral. Lineage: Eukaryota; Viridiplantae; Streptophyta; Magnoliopsida; Malpighiales; Euphorbiaceae.
GGGAUUUUCUUUUCUUUUCUUUUCAAUUUUGUUGAGAAAAGCUUUCAUUUUGGCAUUGCUUGUGAACUGCUCCUUGAAUGAGACAGCUACUUGUUAAUUCAUGUAAACUUUAUGGAUUCGUGUUACUAUGUUAGGAAGUGUCAAUAGUAAUCCGAAAAGCCCAUGAGUUGGCCCAAUGUGCUCGCAGAACCAAACUUGUCUUCUAGAUGUUUUGCUGCCAAUAAUGUCUUACUUUAAUUCUGAAACCCGUCUAGGUUUGGAUCAAGAUUUUCAUUUU